Molecule: long non-coding RNA, 2126 nt
Filed under: Coffea arabica (coffee)
Lineage: Eukaryota; Viridiplantae; Streptophyta; Magnoliopsida; Gentianales; Rubiaceae
Description: long non-coding RNA (CARA_LNC003758)
Source: RNAcentral
CGAGCAAUUCAAUAAGAAUUAUUUUCCGGAAGUUCAAGUGUCCGCGGUGAGAUCCUCUUGAAGGUCUCCUUGCGCGCCUGGCAAUUUAAUAGCGAAUAAUCAUACAAUUAACCCACUUAUCAAGAAAGAUUGUACACUAGUACAAUCUAAGAAUUAUUUUGCAAAAAGGAACCUCAAUUACACGUAAAUCGAGGUUCAACUUGCCUUUUAUUAGGUACAAUAUUAUUUGAGUUUUUAUCAUGAAAAUCGAGGGCAAAACGUUUGAAUAAUACUACGAGAAUUAAGAGUUUUGGAAAAACUCCUUUGCCUUGAAAUGUGAGAAUUUCAGUUUUAUCCUAAUCUUUGAAAAAUCGUAACUCGCUCGGUAUAAGUCGAGAAUUGGAAAACUUUAUACCGUUGGAAAACCUUAGAGAGUACUAUAAGUUCCUAGAAGACACUUUUCCAUGAAUCGAAGUGAAAAGUGGUCAAAAAUGGGCUUGAAGACGCAGGGUUGGUUUUCAUGGCAGAAUUAAGUUGGAUUUCGGCCAACUUUGGAAAUUCGGCACGAUUCACACGUUGCAAACCGGCCUCUGAAAUUUUCAGCUCAAUUAGUGUUGCAAGUGAAGUGUAUGACAAAACAAGCGGAUCAAGAAUCGGAGUUUCGAGCACCGAGAUACGGUAGCCCGAAGUUAAGCAAAUUCAAGACUGGAUGAGAAUUUUCCAGACUUGAACCUCUAACUUUAGUAAUUCAAUUGGGUGUCGCAACGAACUUGAAUUGGCACCAAAAUUGGCAGUAUUUCAAUACUAUCUGGAAAGUAUCCCUCUAUCGAAUUUCGGGGAAAAAUACCUUCGGCAAGGUAGUUAAUUAGCCACCAAAGUUCAAGAAAAAUCCUAAGGCAAUCUGCCAUUGACUUUCAUUUUCCAAAUUUCCAAUCGUUUAAUCAAGAAAGUUAUCCAACCAUGGUUCAUUUGUGAAAUAAGGGUCUAAGAUACAUCCAUAUUAUCUUUGGUAAGUGUUUAAUAUCAAAAACAUCAACUAACAAGUUCACUCCAAGAUUUGUUCCAAACCAGUCCAAACAUUAGGGUUUUCCAAAACAGAGCAGUCCACUUGUUUCAGUCACAAAUCAGUCAAUAUAGCUCGAAAUCGAGCAUGGCUUACGCCGUUGGAAAAUACAUUCAUAGGACUAAAAUAUCACAGAAGAAAUCAUUCCAAAUUCGGCACCCAACUGGUUCAAAUUCGGGCAUCAAGUUGCUGCCUGACCACUUCAUUCCAGACGAACAGAGCAACAGGACAGCGAACUUAAAACAUUUGGUUCGGCUUUCUCACAAAGAAUCAGAACGUGCAUUUUACCAAAUUAAAGCUAGGAAUGUCUAGUUUCAAACGCCACCGACGGCACAUGAUUUCGACAUCCGAGGACAGAGUUAUAGCCAAAAUACUACUGCUGGUCAGAGCAUACGCGAAUCAGUUUUUCCAGAUUUGCUGGUUUCUAAAAAAAAUUCAUUUGCCCAUUCAAACCUCAUUAUUUUUCAAUGAAAUUUUUCACACCUCUAAUACAUCAUAUAAGCAUCCAAUUCAAGCCAUUAGUUCAUUAAAAACUGGCCUUAAAAUGGCCGAAUAAAACAGGGGUAGAAUCGGAAGUUUUUACUUCUUACACCCAAUGAAGUUCCUACUAAUUACCCACCACUAAUGCAUCAUUAUAACCACUAAACCAACAAUAUAAUCACCAUCAAUCAUCACAUCAGCAACAACAACCCAAGUGUGGGAAUUCCAAGAGCCCACAAUCACAUUUUUACACCAUACAAAAGCUAACCAAAUGCAUGCAUGAACUUAACAAGGCAAGAUAGCUUCCAAUCUUCAAGUUUUCAAGGGUAGAUCAUCACUUACUUUGGGGUUGAUGUUCAAGCAGAAUUUCGGUCCUUUUUGCCCCAGAAAAACCGUGAGUUUUAGCUCUCUUUUGCAGCUCAAAAUGAUCCUCAAGUGUCAAGCUAGGUGUGGUGCAAGUUUGGUUAAAUUUGGAGGUGAUUUGGGGUGGUUUUGGGUGAGAUUAGUGUGCAGAAAUUUUAGAACAAGGAGUUAGAGAGAGGGAGUGUUUUGGCCGGCCAUGAGGAGAGAGAGGAGAGAGUGUGUUUGAUCUAAGUUAGCUUCC